GGUCAAGCGAAUAAGCGCACACGGUGGAUGCCUUGGCGGUCAGAGGCGAUGAAGGACGUGGCAGCCUGCGAAAAGUAUCGGGGAGCUGGCAACAAGCUUUGAUCCGGUAAUGUCCGAAUGGGGAAACCCACCCGCUUGCGGGUAUCCUGCAGUGAAUACAUAGCUGCUGGAAGCGAACCUGGUGAACUGAAAUAUCUAAGUAACCAGAGGAAAAGAAAUCAACCGAGAUUCCGUAAGUAGCGACGAGCGAACGCGGACUAGCCCUUAAGCUGAUUUGGUUCUAGGAAAACGCUCUGGAAAGAGCGGCCAUAGAAGGUGAUAGCCCUGUAUCUGAAAGGGCCAUUUCAGUGAAGACGAGUAGGGCGGGGCACGUGAAACCCUGUCUGAACAUGGGGGGACCAUCCUCCAAGGCUAAAUACUACUGACCGACCGAUAGUGAACCAGUACCGUGAGGGAAAGGCGAAAAGAACCCCGGAGAGGGGAGUGAAAUAGAACCUGAAACCGUGUGCGUACAAGCAGUAGGAGCUCCGCAAGGAGUGACUGCGUACCUUUUGUAUAAUGGGUCAGCGACUUACUGUUCGUGGCAAGCUUAACCGUAUAGGGGAGGCGAAGGGAAACCGAGUCUGAUAAGGGCGCAUAGUCGCGGGCAGUAGACCCGAAACCGGGUGAUCUAGUCAUGCCCAGGGUGAAGGUGCGGUAACACGCACUGGAGGCCCGAACCCACUCCCGUUGCAAAGGUAGGGGAUGAGGUGUGAUUAGGAGUGAAAAGCUAAUCGAACCCGGAGAUAGCUGGUUCUCCUCGAAAGCUAUUUAGGUAGCGCCUCAUAUGUAUCCUCUCGGGGGUAGAGCACUGUUAUGGCUAGGGGGUCAUCGCGACUUACCAAACCAUUGCAAACUCCGAAUACCGAGACGGACUGUAUGGGAGACACACGGCGGGUGCUAACGUCCGUCGUGAAAAGGGAAACAACCCAGACCCACAGCUAAGGUCCCAAAUUUUGUGCUAAGUGGAAAACCAUGUGGAAAGGCACAGACAGCCAGGAGGUUGGCUUAGAAGCAGCCACCCUUUAAAGAAAGCGUAAUAGCUCACUGGUCGAGUCGGUCUGCGGGGAAGAUUUAACGGGGCUAAGCACAGAACCGAAGCUUGGGGUGCAUAACUUUGUUAUGCGCGGUAGAGGAGCGUUCCGUAAGCCGUUGAAGGUGGAUUGAGAAGUCUGCUGGAGGUAUCGGAAGUGCGAAUGCUGACAUGAGUAACGAUAAUGCGGGUGAAAAACCCGCACGCCGAAAGCCCAAGGUUUCCUUGCGCAACGUUAAUCGGCGCAGGGUGAGUCGGCCCCUAAGGCGAGGACGAAAGUCGUAGUCGAUGGGAAGCAGGUUAAUAUUCCUGCACCUCGCGUAAGUGCGAUGGAGGGACGGAGAAGGUUAGGUGUACCAGGCGUUGGUUGUCCUGGGGAAAGGCGGUAGGUUUGGAUCUUUGGCAAAUCCGGGAUCCUUUAAGACCGAGCACCGAGACGAGCCUUUAAGGCGAAGUCACUGAUACCACGCUUCCAGGAAAAGCUCCUAAGCUUCAGCUUACGCAGACCGUACCGUAAACCGACACAGGUGGGUAGGAUGAGAAUUCUCAGGCGCUUGAGAGAACUCGGGUGAAGGAACUAGGCAACAUGGCACCGUAACUUCGGGAGAAGGUGCACCCUUUUUGGUGGCUCAUGCGAGCUAUAGCUGAAGAGGGUCGCAGUAACCAGGCCGCUGCGACUGUUUAUCAAAAACACAGCACUCUGCAAACACGAAAGUGGACGUAUAGGGUGUGACGCCUGCCCGGUGCUGGAAGGUUAAUUGAUGGGGUCAGCCGCAAGGCGAAGCUCUUGAUCGAAGCCCCAGUAAACGGCGGCCGUAACUAUAACGGUCCUAAGGUAGCGAAAUUCCUUGUCGGGUAAGUUCCGACCUGCACGAAUGGCGUAACGACAGCGGCGCUGUCUCCACCCGAGACUCAGUGAAAUUGAAAUCGCUGUGAAGAUGCAGCGUUCCCGUGGCAAGACGGAAAGACCCCGUGAACCUUUACUAUAGCUUUACACUGAACGUUGAGUUCGUCUGUGUAGGAUAGGUGGGAGGCUAUGAAACCAUGGCGCUAGCUGUGGCGGAGCCAUCCUUGAAAUACCACCCUGUCGUGCUUGACGUUCUAACCUGGGCCCAUUAUCUGGGUCGGGGACCGUGUAUGGUGGGUAGUUUGACUGGGGCGGUCUCCUCCUAAAGAGUAACGGAGGAGCUCGAAGGUACGCUCAGCGCGGUCGGACAUCGCGCACUGUGUGCAAAGGCAUAAGCGUGCUUGACUGCAAGAUCGACGGAUCAAGCAGGUAGGAAACUAGGACUUAGUGAUCCGGUGGUUCUGUAUGGAAGGGCCAUCGCUCAACGGAUAAAAGGUACUCCGGGGAUAACAGGCUGAUACCGCCCAAGAGUUCAUAUCGACGGCGGUGUUUGGCACCUCGAUGUCGGCUCAUCACAUCCUGGGGCUGUAGUCGGUCCCAAGGGUAUGGCUGUUCGCCAUUUAAAGUGGUACGCGAGCUGGGUUCAGAACGUCGUGAGACAGUUCGGUCCCUAUCUGCCAUGGGCGUUGGAGAUUUGAGAGGGGCUGCUCCUAGUACGAGAGGACCGGAGUGGACGAACCUCUGGUGUUCCGGUUGUCACGCCAGUGGCAUUGCCGGGUAGCUAUGUUCGGAAGCGAUAACCGCUGAAAGCAUCUAAGCGGGAAGCGCGCCUCAAGAUGAGAUCUCCCGGGGCACAAGCCCCCUGAAGGAACCAUGUAGACUACGUGGUUGAUAGGUCAGGUGUGUAAGUACAGCAAUGUAUUGAGCUAACUGAUACUAAUGAUCCGUGCGGCUUGACCAU
This 2880-nucleotide ribosomal RNA is filed under the name Stenotrophomonas maltophilia. Its description in RNAcentral is "23S ribosomal RNA". It matches the Rfam family "Bacterial large subunit ribosomal RNA". RNAcentral also lists the same sequence under 1 other name. The record is from RNAcentral. Lineage: Bacteria; Pseudomonadati; Pseudomonadota; Gammaproteobacteria; Lysobacterales; Lysobacteraceae.